UGGGGAAUAUUGCGCAAUGGGCGAAAGCCUGACGCAGCGACGCCGCGUGUGGGAUGACGGCCUUCGGGUUGUAAACCACUGUCGGGAGGGACGAAUGCCCCGCAAGGGGAGUGACGGUACCUCCAAAGGAAGCACCGGCUAACUCCGUGCCAGCAGCCGCGGUAAUACGGAGGGUGCGAGCGUUGUCCGGAAUCACUGGGCGUAAAGGGCGCGUAGGCGGCCUGAUAAGUAGGGGGUGAAAUCCUGCGGCUUAACCGCAGGGCUGCCUUCUAAACUGUCGGGCUCGAGCACAGUAGAGGCAGGUGGAAUUCCCGGUGUAGCGGUGGAAUGCGUAGAGAUCGGGAAGAACAUCAGUGGCGAAGGCGGCCUGCUGGGCUGUUGCUGACGCUGAGGCGCGACAGCGUGGGGAGCAAACAGG
RNAcentral lists this ribosomal RNA (418 nucleotides) under Bacillota bacterium. RNAcentral's name for it is "Firmicutes bacterium partial 16S ribosomal RNA". It matches the Rfam family "Bacterial small subunit ribosomal RNA", at positions 355 to 776 of the family's 1533-position model. Lineage: Bacteria; Bacillati; Bacillota. The record is from RNAcentral.